This 306-nucleotide unclassified non-coding RNA is filed under the name plant metagenome. RNAcentral describes it as "partial contains 5.8S ribosomal RNA, internal transcribed spacer 2, and large subunit ribosomal RNA". The stretch from base 1 to 102 matches the Rfam family "5.8S ribosomal RNA", at positions 50 to 154 of the family's 154-position model. The record is from RNAcentral.
AAACUGCGAUAAGUAGUGUGAAUUGCAUUUAGUGAAUCAUCGAAUCUUUGAACGCACAUUGCGCCCCUUGGUAUUCCAUGGGGCAUGCCUGUUCGAGCGUCAUUUGUACCCUCAAGCUCUGCUUGGUGUUGGGUGUUUGUCCCGUCUCCGCGCGUGGACUCGCCCCAAAGUGAUUGGCAGCCGGCGUACUGGUCCCGGAGCGCAGCACAUGUCGCGCAAACGAGUGCCUUGGUACGGCGGCGUCCAUAAGCCCCUCUCUCACGCUCUUGACCUCGGAUCAGGUAGGGAUACCCGCUGAACUUAAGC